RNAcentral lists this unclassified non-coding RNA (602 nucleotides) under Hevea brasiliensis (rubber tree). The record is from RNAcentral. Lineage: Eukaryota; Viridiplantae; Streptophyta; Magnoliopsida; Malpighiales; Euphorbiaceae.
GGCAGUGCUCAAGUCCAGACAAUAGUUGACGCAUGAAACAUUUAACCUGUGGCUCUGUGAACUUUACUCCUGGGUUAGCAGCAAGUCCAGCUAGAUCAUGCUCCAUGUACUCAAAUACNCAGGUACAAGCUACAUGACAUCCUGGAAGUAACUAAACCCUCCAACUUUACAACAUUCAGAUGAUCCAAUCUCCGUAGAAUGAGGAUCUCUCUAGCCAUGAACUUCACGCUUUCAGAUUCCAAAUUAUCAAAUCGGACCUUCUUUAGGGCAACAAUUUUACCCGUUAAUAGAUCUCUAGCUUUGUACACAUUGCUAUAUGUUCCAGAUCCAAUCUUAUCUAUCUUCUCAAAUGUGUCUGCCUGCCGGGGAAUCCAUCCAUUGAGUGCCUCCCCACAGACUGCUGAUAGCCACAGUGGCCAUCCAGCUGCCACCUGCUCACCCUGCAAAUGCUUGGGUGGAUUACUCAACCUAGGGUUUGGCCUAGACCUUCUUCUCUCCCCUCUAGGUUUUUGAUCCCUCUCCACUUUCUCCUCCUUCUGAGUCUCAUUUUGAAUCUCAACAAUACUACUAGUGUCAGUCUUUGUCACUGAAACAAUGUCUAA